RNAcentral lists this ribosomal RNA (2814 nucleotides) under Staphylococcus aureus. RNAcentral's name for it is "partial 23S ribosomal RNA". It matches the Rfam family "Bacterial large subunit ribosomal RNA". Lineage: Bacteria; Bacillati; Bacillota; Bacilli; Caryophanales; Staphylococcaceae. The record is from RNAcentral.
UAAGGGCGCACGGUGGAUGCCUUGGCACUAGAAGCCGAUGAAGGACGUUACUAACGACGAUAUGCUUUGGGGAGCUGUAAGUAAGCUUUGAUCCAGAGAUUUCCGAAUGGGGAAACCCAGCAUGAGUUAUGUCAUGUUAUCGAUAUGUGAAUACAUAGCAUAUCAGAAGGCACACCCGGAGAACUGAAACAUCUUAGUACCCGGAGGAAGAGAAAGAAAAUUCGAUUCCCUUAGUAGCGGCGAGCGAAACGGGAAGAGCCCAAACCAACAAGCUUGCUUGUUGGGGUUGUAGGACACUCUAUACGGAGUUACAAAGGACGACAUUAGACGAAUCAUCUGGAAAGAUGAAUCAAAGAAGGUAAUAAUCCUGUAGUCGAAAAUGUUGUCUCUCUUGAGUGGAUCCUGAGUACGACGGAGCACGUGAAAUUCCGUCGGAAUCUGGGAGGACCAUCUCCUAAGGCUAAAUACUCUCUAGUGACCGAUAGUGAACCAGUACCGUGAGGGAAAGGUGAAAAGCACCCCGGAAGGGGAGUGAAAUAGAACCUGAAACCGUGUGCUUACAAGUAGUCAGAGCCCGUUAAUGGGUGAUGGCGUGCCUUUUGUAGAAUGAACCGGCGAGUUACGAUUUGAUGCAAGGUUAAGCAGUAAAUGUGGAGCCGUAGCGAAAGCGAGUCUGAAUAGGGCGUUUAGUAUUUGGUCGUAGACCCGAAACCAGGUGAUCUACCCUUGGUCAGGUUGAAGUUCAGGUAACACUGAAUGGAGGACCGAACCGACUUACGUUGAAAAGUGAGCGGAUGAACUGAGGGUAGCGGAGAAAUUCCAAUCGAACCUGGAGAUAGCUGGUUCUCUCCGAAAUAGCUUUAGGGCUAGCCUCAAGUGAUGAUUAUUGGAGGUAGAGCACUGUUUGGACGAGGGGCCCCUCUCGGGUUACCGAAUUCAGACAAACUCCGAAUGCCAAUUAAUUUAACUUGGGAGUCAGAACAUGGGUGAUAAGGUCCGUGUUCGAAAGGGAAACAGCCCAGACCACCAGCUAAGGUCCCAAAAUAUAUGUUAAGUGGAAAAGGAUGUGGCGUUGCCCAGACAACUAGGAUGUUGGCUUAGAAGCAGCCAUCAUUUAAAGAGUGCGUAAUAGCUCACUAGUCGAGUGACACUGCGCCGAAAAUGUACCGGGGCUAAACAUAUUACCGAAGCUGUGGAUUGUCCUUUGGACAAUGGUAGGAGAGCGUUCUAAGGGCGUUGAAGCAUGAUCGUAAGGACAUGUGGAGCGCUUAGAAGUGAGAAUGCCGGUGUGAGUAGCGAAAGACGGGUGAGAAUCCCGUCCACCGAUUGACUAAGGUUUCCAGAGGAAGGCUCGUCCGCUCUGGGUUAGUCGGGUCCUAAGCUGAGGCCGACAGGCGUAGGCGAUGGAUAACAGGUUGAUAUUCCUGUACCACCUAUAAUCGUUUUAAUCGAUGGGGGGGACGCAGUAGGAUAGGCGAAGCGUGCGAUUGGAUUGCACGUCUAAGCAGUAAGGCUGAGUAUUAGGCAAAUCCGGUACUCGUUAAGGCUGAGCUGUGAUGGGGAGAAGACAUUGUGUCUUCGAGUCGUUGAUUUCACACUGCCGAGAAAAGCCUCUAGAUAGAAAAUAGGUGCCCGUACCGCAAACCGACACAGGUAGUCAAGAUGAGAAUUCUAAGGUGAGCGAGCGAACUCUCGUUAAGGAACUCGGCAAAAUGACCCCGUAACUUCGGGAGAAGGGGUGCUCUUUAGGGUUAACGCCCAGAAGAGCCGCAGUGAAUAGGCCCAAGCGACUGUUUAUCAAAAACACAGGUCUCUGCUAAACCGUAAGGUGAUGUAUAGGGGCUGACGCCUGCCCGGUGCUGGAAGGUUAAGAGGAGUGGUUAGCUUCUGCGAAGCUACGAAUCGAAGCCCCAGUAAACGGCGGCCGUAACUAUAACGGUCCUAAGGUAGCGAAAUUCCUUGUCGGGUAAGUUCCGACCCGCACGAAAGGCGUAACGAUUUGGGCACUGUCUCAACGAGAGACUCGGUGAAAUCAUAGUACCUGUGAAGAUGCAGGUUACCCGCGACAGGACGGAAAGACCCCGUGGAGCUUUACUGUAGCCUGAUAUUGAAAUUCGGCACAGCUUGUACAGGAUAGGUAGGAGCCUUUGAAACGUGAGCGCUAGCUUACGUGGAGGCGCUGGUGGGAUACUACCCUAGCUGUGUUGGCUUUCUAACCCGCACCACUUAUCGUGGUGGGAGACAGUGUCAGGCGGGCAGUUUGACUGGGGCGGUCGCCUCCUAAAAGGUAACGGAGGCGCUCAAAGGUUCCCUCAGAAUGGUUGGAAAUCAUUCAUAGAGUGUAAAGGCAUAAGGGAGCUUGACUGCGAGACCUACAAGUCGAGCAGGGUCGAAAGACGGACUUAGUGAUCCGGUGGUUCCGCAUGGAAGGGCCAUCGCUCAACGGAUAAAAGCUACCCCGGGGAUAACAGGCUUAUCUCCCCCAAGAGUUCACAUCGACGGGGAGGUUUGGCACCUCGAUGUCGGCUCAUCGCAUCCUGGGGCUGUAGUCGGUCCCAAGGGUUGGGCUGUUCGCCCAUUAAAGCGGUACGCGAGCUGGGUUCAGAACGUCGUGAGACAGUUCGGUCCCUAUCCGUCGUGGGCGUAGGAAAUUUGAGAGGAGCUGUCCUUAGUACGAGAGGACCGGGAUGGACAUACCUCUGGUGUACCAGUUGUCGUGCCAACGGCAUAGCUGGGUAGCUAUGUGUGGACGGGAUAAGUGCUGAAAGCAUCUAAGCAUGAAGCCCCCCUCAAGAUGAGAUUUCCCAACUUCGG